RNAcentral lists this transfer-messenger RNA (372 nucleotides) under Chloroflexota bacterium. It matches the Rfam family "transfer-messenger RNA". Rfam says of the family: Bacterial tmRNA, also known as 10Sa RNA or SsrA, is named for its dual tRNA and mRNA-like properties. Its role is to liberate the mRNA from a stalled ribosome. To accomplish this part of the tmRNA is used as a reading frame that ends in a translation stop signal. Lineage: Bacteria; Bacillati; Chloroflexota. The record is from RNAcentral.
GGGGAUGAGUGGUUUCGACAGGGCCGGAUUCCCGGAGAACGCGAGCCGAGGUUGCCAUCAGGCCUCGUUAAUCAGGUGGCAAAAAGAAGUAACUGGCAACCGCCAGCCUGCUCUCGCCCUCGCCGCUUAAGGCGGCAAGGUGAGCGUGGAAGCAGCCCCAUCCCCGCGGGUUGUGGAAGCGUCAUUUAGCGGGGAUGCGCUACCAGCAAGGUCACGUAGCCGGUAGCAAAGCCCGCAAGGGAACGUGGAUGGAUCAGUCGGGACGCUGUCGAUGGCGGCCAGGCAGAUUGACGACAAAGCAUCGAACACGCUCGUAGUGGUCUCCGGCUGAUGGUUCUGGACGAGGAGUUCGACCCUCCUCCAUCUCCACCA